RNAcentral lists this unclassified non-coding RNA (380 nucleotides) under uncultured Chytridiomycota. RNAcentral's name for it is "sequence contains ITS2". Lineage: Eukaryota; Fungi; Chytridiomycota. The record is from RNAcentral.
AACGCACAUUGCACUCUAUUCACGUAGAGUAUGCCUGUUUGAGAAUCUAUAGUAUUCUUUUUUUAAAUUACCUUCCACUUGCAAAAGUGGUAUAGUAAUUUGAAAAGUUUUGUAGAAUCCAUUUCAUUAUGGUUCUAUUAAAUCUAUAGCUUAGUUUACUUUAGAAAAUGAUGACUUUUCUAUAAAAACUUUGUCGAAAAGUAUUUGAAUGAACUUUCAGUUCUCCCUAUACUAAUUACGCAAAGAGAGAAUAGUUUUCUAUAGUGAAUUGAGUUCAUAACCAUAUAAAACAAAAAGAAACCUUCAACUUGCAAAAGUUUUUGAUUUUUCAUGUUUUGAACCAUGGUCUCAAAUCAGGUAGGAUUACCCGCUGAACUUAA